This 346-nucleotide long non-coding RNA is filed under the name Theobroma cacao (cacao). Its description in RNAcentral is "long non-coding RNA (TCAC_LNC004203)". The record is from RNAcentral. Lineage: Eukaryota; Viridiplantae; Streptophyta; Magnoliopsida; Malvales; Malvaceae.
UUUUUGCAUGUCUUUAUUGGGAUUAUGGACAUUUCCUGAUAGUUUGAGAGAGUACAUAUGGAUUUCAACUUGCCAAUGCCAUUGUGAAGUAGAGUCCUAGAAUCGAUGGAUCGGAAGCUUUACUCUCAACAGCAUCAUAACUAUCUAUGUUAUAGUUUGAUGGCAAUUCUAUGUAAGAGUUGAAUUUUGCUCUGAGUAUUUGAAUUCAAUAAAGACUAAAUGAUGAAACUAAUUGAACAACUUGACCUCUGGUUUCUUUUUAGAUAGCAAUGACUGCACAGCAUGCAACUUUUUCACCUUUUCGUCCUAAGAAGUGAGCCUUUGGUCUAGCGAUAGUGAAUUCAAG